UACAGAGGUCUCAACCGUUGUUCGGAUUCAUUGGGCGUAAAGGGUGCGUUGGCGGUCGUGCAAGUCGGAUGUGAAAUCUCAGGGCUCAACCCUGAAACUGCAUUCGAUACUGCGUGGCUAGAGUGCUGGAGAGGAGACUGGAAUUUACGGUGUAGCAGUGAAAUGCGUAGAUAUCGUAAGGAAGACCAGUGGCGAAGGCGAGUCUCUGGACAGCAACUGACGCUGAGGCACGAAGGCCAGGGGAGCAAACGGG
This 253-nucleotide ribosomal RNA is filed under the name uncultured bacterium. RNAcentral's name for it is "partial 16S ribosomal RNA". It matches the Rfam family "Bacterial small subunit ribosomal RNA", at positions 524 to 776 of the family's 1533-position model. The record is from RNAcentral.